GUGGCUGGGGGUGAAAGGCUAAUCAAACCGGGAGAUAGCUGGUUCUCCCCGAAAGCUAUUUAGGUAGCGCCUCGUGAACUCAUCUCCGGGGGUAGAGCACUGUUUCGGCUAGGGGGCCAUCCCGGCUUACCAACCCGAUGCAAACUGCGAAUACUGGAGACUGUUAUCACGGUAGACACCCGGCGGGUGCUAAGGUCCGUCGUGCAUAAGGAUG
This 214-nucleotide ribosomal RNA is filed under the name Cronobacter sakazakii. RNAcentral describes it as "partial 23S ribosomal RNA". It matches the Rfam family "Bacterial large subunit ribosomal RNA", at positions 811 to 1022 of the family's 2925-position model. Lineage: Bacteria; Pseudomonadati; Pseudomonadota; Gammaproteobacteria; Enterobacterales; Enterobacteriaceae. The record is from RNAcentral.